Molecule: long non-coding RNA, 1186 nt
Filed under: Coffea arabica (coffee)
Lineage: Eukaryota; Viridiplantae; Streptophyta; Magnoliopsida; Gentianales; Rubiaceae
Description: long non-coding RNA (CARA_LNC003211)
Source: RNAcentral
AUAAAAAUAAAAACUAAAAUAAAAUAAUAGAUAAUAAUAAUAAUAAUCUGAAACGCUAUACAAAUGCUAAAAAAAAUCUAAACCAAAAUCAUGAAGUUAACAAAUAAAAAUAGAUAAGAAUUAUCACUAAAAACAAAAAUAAAAAUAAAAUGAAAAUUAUUUAAAAAUUUGGUGUCUACACUGGCGAGAGUUGGGCAGAUGUCCCGUAGAUACCCUUGGGUUCGCCUUUAGAAGUGGGGGCGUCACAAACAACACCAGUGAACACCUACUGCCACCGAUCACCAAUGGCUCCACCAUCGCCACCUAUCACCAGUAAGUAGCUCCACUACCAAUCAUCACUGAUUUCAAUGCUCAAUGAUCCCGAAAUAACACCAAAAAAUUUCCAAUCAGAUAGAGCGCAAAAUAACAACAAAAAUUCUCAAUCUAAUAGUCUCAAAAUAUUAGCAAAAAAUUCUCAAUCAAUGAUCCGAUCAUAACACCAAAAGCCUCCAAUAUAUCAAUCACAUAGUGGCUCUAUUAUCAACUUCAAAUUAAUCCAAAUUGAAUAGAAACAUGGAUAGCAAAAUUAUAUCUGAUGAUGGCCAUUUGUUGGUGGUAUCAGUUGAAGGACAGAUGGGAGGAAAGGAGAAAAGAAGCAAAAAACAAAAAAAAGAAAAAGAAAAAUCAACCAUUGGGCAAGGAGGAGAAAUCGAGGUCCACUGCCUUCAUGUAAUUGGAGACCCUCUUAGCUUGCUUGGAAUACUGAGAGGAUAGACCCUCCUAAUCAACUGAGACGAGGCCAAACUUCGAAGGACUGGUGAUGAAGAUGUAGGGGAAAGAGGCGGUUCUGUUGCCUAAGAAAACAAUGAUUAGAGGAGAAAGAGACUAAGCAGCCCCCAAGUCUCCGAAGAAAGUUGCUGCUUAGAUUUGGGUUUUUAAUUUUAUGAACACAUGAAAAAAUCAUGAAUUUAGACUGGCGAUGAUAGAGAUGCCAUUGAAAAUGAAGACGGUGAGACGGUGAUAGCGAGAUAAUGGCAUCAGUGAAAGGGUGGUGUUAGCUGGAUUGAUGGGGAAAGAAAAAGAAAGGAAAAUCAAAGGGGAAAGGAAAAUCAGGAAAAAUGUUAAAAAAAAAAAAAAGAGAGGAAGAAACAAGAAGCUCAGAACGUUUUGAUGUUUUACCUUGAGUGAAGAAGAUGAUACAUCUUAU